Molecule: ribosomal RNA, 465 nt
Filed under: uncultured bacterium
Lineage: Bacteria
Description: partial 16S ribosomal RNA
Rfam family: Bacterial small subunit ribosomal RNA
Source: RNAcentral
GACGAACGCUGGCGGCGUGCUUAACACAUGCAAGUCGUACGGUAAGGCCCUUUCGGUGGUCCACUAGUGGCGAACGGGUGAGUAACACGUGAGUAACCUUCCCACAACUUUGGGAUAACGCUAGGAAACUGGUGCUAAUACUGGAUAUGUGCUCCUGCUGCAUGGGGGGGGUUGGAAAGCUCCGGCGGGUGUGGAUGGACUCGCGGCCUAUCAGCUUGUUGGUGUGGUAGUGGCCUACCAAGGCGGCGACGGGUAGCCGGCCUGAGAGGGUGACCGGCCACAUUGGGACUGAGAUACGGCCCAGAUUGCUAAGGGAGGCAGAAGUGGGGAAUAUUGCACAAUGGGCGCAAGCCUGAUGCAGCAACGCCGCGUGCGGGAUGACGGCCUUCGGGUUGUAAACCGCUUUCAGCAGGGACGAAGCUUUUUGUGACGGUACCUGCAGAAGAAGCACCGGCUAACUACGUG